GUAAUAACCCCAAUAUGUUAUAUGCAUGCUCCAAUAGAGUUUGCUCAUUCUGUUACGAGGUUGCUUUUUGUUUUCAAUUUAAGCUUUAAUUAUCCCUGGGCUAUAGGGAGAACCAGGUAUUUCCAUCACCCAUUUUCCCCAAGGAGGAUUGUACACAUUCUCACAGGCACACUUUUAAGACACAUCAAAGUGCAUCUCAGAGUAGGAAAAGAGAAAUGAGUUCAGAAUAAAAAGGAAAUAUUUACUAUAAAUAGCAGCUAUCUUAUUAAAGAGGCAUUUCUCAGCAAGGCAAAGGGGUCUUGAAGGUUGUGUUUAUGGAAAAACACACACACAGACAUUCUCUAUUCUCUUUUUUCCUUGCUGGGAAUAUUUAUUCAAAGUAAACAAACCAUUUUAAAAUUCAGAUGAUAAACAGAGAAACUCUAAAGUGCAGAAAAUAAACAGAUUCCACUCAUUUGCUUCUUCAAGAGCCAAGUAGUUUACCCUAAUUUUUUUUUUCCUUCUAACCUGAUCUAGAUUCCCAGCUGAAGGAGCCCGUAGCCUGAUUCUGCUCAGUUCUAAUGUGUUGUGAGAAGAAAUUCAGAAUAUCUCUGUGCUAGUCUUGCUUGGAAUUGUAGAACCCAAAGUUGCUUUUUGCCUCUAGAGAUCAUACAUCCAUCAUACAUACAUACACACAUACAUCAUACAUAUAUACAUACAUAUAUACAUACAUACAUACACACAUGAGUCCUAACACCGCUCGCCAGCCCUAUUGUUGGAGAAGUGUCUUUACCUCCUGUCAAGCAAUGACCUAAAAAAGUUUAAUCUGGUUAACAAUUUCAAGGUCAAAGUGGGUACAAUGCUGUCUCUUUUGGCCUAAGAGAAAAGGGAAACUGCUUGUUCUAAGUCUAGAUUUCUGCUUGUUCCUGUCCCAUUCCCCAGGCUUUGGUCCCCCUAAAUGUAUUAAAGCCUCACACUGGAGUUUGUGGUCUUUUCCACAUUAUCUCAGAGCUUUAAUUCCUGUGAUCAGAACUGGUGCCCUCUCUGCUCAAUUUUUAUACUGAAUGAUAAGCAAAGCAAAACUUUCCAACCUAAAUAGCAAUGAAACGCUAAACUAGGAAUUUAUUGACGUUCCCUAAACUGACAUUCAAUGAUCAAAAUAAAAUGCAUACAUAAAAUCCUAGUCAAUUUGCAUACCCCGUUCUUCCACAUAACAAAAAAAAGCUAUUUUAAACCUAUGACUGUGACAUGCAUUUGUUUUUAAUAAUGUCUCAUUUUUAAACAACCAUAUAUUCAAGGUCUUUAUCAUUCAAGGUACAUGAAGGUUGUGCAUUUAAUCUUUAGCAUGGUUGUAGAAGAUAUGAUUCACAGAGUAGAGAAUAGAUAAAAAUAAACAUGCAGUAGCAUGGUGCCGAAUCAUCAGAACUCACCAUCUUAUCAACAAAUAGAAGUCAUUCUUCUUUAUUUCUUGAGCAAAGCAGUUUCAUAUAAGAUAAAUAGCUUUCAGUCAGAAUAGCCUAACAUGCAAUAUGCAUCUUUUUGACAUGUAUAUUCUAAUACUACUUUAGACCAUAAGAUUAAAAGAGGAAAAGUCUCAGGGUUGUGUGUUGAGAACAAACACCGGUUGAAUCUGCAUUUUUUUCCAUUUUUCAUCUCCUAGAAUUUGGCUCUGUAUGGGUAUGUUUGUACAUUACUGGAUUUUAUUAAACGGUCAACCUCUAGUGACCUUCAAGUACUGUUUUCUAAAGAGAAAUAAUUCAGGGAAUUUUUAUGCUUUUUAUAUCAAACAUUGAAAGUCACAUCAUUGUUUGGAGAGAUCGUCUUUUGUUUUCAGAGAGCAGGGCAUAGUUAAAUGUGUUUCUGAUGGGUUUAGGAGACUGGGUUCUAGAUAUGUGACCUUGAGAAGGCUACCCUAGUUCUAGUUUCCUCAUCUUGUAAAGGAAGAAUUUGAGUCAGAUGGUUUUUAAAAUUAUACCUAGCUCUAAGAUGAUAUCAUCUAUAAAUUAUUGUACUUUUGUUAACAGAGAAAGUAGAUGGGUGAUGUGGAAGGCAGAAUAAAGAAAUUAAGUGGAUACCUUAAGUGGCCGAGGCCUUUGGACUGGACUGAUAGUCACUCUGUGGGUCUCCGCUGAGCACACUUUCAUGACUUAAAGUCCUGUUUACCAAGCCCCUCUGGCCCAUUCCAUUCACAAAUCCUGCCUCAAUGUAGCUAUACAAGCCUCUGAACCUUUAAGGGUGUCAUGCUGUUACAAAACUUCCGUUCUCACUUAAAUAUUAACUUUAUUAACUUCCACUUUCUGAGAUGGACAACUGAACUGAAGUUCUUGGGGAAGUUGACAAAACAGCAGAAAGCUUGCAUUUUCAAUAGGCAUUGUUCUAUCCAUAUUUACUGGUUUGUAUGUGUGGAAGAAAGAACUUGAUUUUUUUUUAAUUUUUUUUUUUUAAGAACUUGGUUUUUUUGUAGUAGACUGCCUUUAAUUAAAACUCCAACUCUUUACUAAUCUAGCUGUUUGGCCUCUUUGAAAUUCAUCUCUGAAAUAUUUUCUCAUCUAUAAAAUGGGCAAAAUAGCUACAUGGAUGUUAUUGUAGAAGAAAAGCAAUUAUUUACAAGUGUUCAAGAAAUACUGUUUUUCCUCCAUUUCAGUAUCAGCUUAUUUGGGAGAGUACUGAUAAUGAUACUAAAAAUCAUCACUUUCAUGACAGAAUCCAUUUCUUAUAUUGCAUAGUUUUGAAAUGUUUUGAAAUGACGAGAUGUGAAAGGAACUGCCUCAUUUACUUGGAAGAUAUUCCUAGACCAGUUUACACUGAUCAGUUUUGUGUUGUCUUGUAAAUAGGUUACUUUCUUAAGUCUGACCUUUGUUUGCCUCUGGGACCUGAUUCCUUUCUCUUCUGCAUCUUCUAGCUGCCACAGCUUCAAAGAAGGUAUACAAACUCCUAAGCCUAAAGGAUGAAAUCAGUUCUGUGGGUGUCAAAUGAGUGGUGCAUGUGAAAACUCCUUCAAAAGGAUGAGGACUUUUGCGAGCUCAAGACAGUAGUUUUCUACAGAUGAACGCAGGACCUUUAAACAGCAUGCUGUACAUUUCUCACCUUCUGGAAGGACAAAUGUAAAGAAGAAAUGAUCACCUUAAGCUAUGCAAUGCUAAAUCAGGAAUCAAUUAAAUAGCUGGAUCACUCAUCCCAUCUGGCACAUUUUCACUUCUCAAAUAGCAAAAUUGACAAAGCUAGUGUUUUUUUAAGUCUAUCAAUAAAAUGCCUCUCAUAGAGUA
Molecule: non-coding RNA, 3245 nt
Organism: Odocoileus virginianus texanus
Lineage: Eukaryota; Metazoa; Chordata; Mammalia; Artiodactyla; Cervidae
Source: RefSeq, a predicted model, not a curated record